AUUGAGAAUAAAAUAGGAAAUCUUGAGGAUAAAAUGGGAAAUAUGGAAGAUAAAAUAGGAAAAAUUGAGGAUAAAAUGAAAGCCCAAUUAGAAGAUCUAAAAAGUUUCUUACAGGAUCAAUUGGCAAACAACCACUCUACCAGAAACAGACCUGUUUCUGAACCUUUGAAUGAGGAAAUUUCCUUCCCUGAAAUAGAGAUGGAAAACACCUUCCCUAUAGCCAAGUUAACAGACUGCUUCUCUCGUGUAGUGCAAAUCUUGUCUGAAUUUAACCCCCAAAACCCUUCCCCUGCAAUCCCAGAUUCUCAUGUUCCUUCUCCUACAGAAAACCAAAUUCCAAUGCAAGAGAGAUCUUGUCCUCCUAGAAAAACCUGUCCUUGUCAAACUGACCCACAGGUGCAAAAUUCAACUAGAGGCCUGUUUCCUCUAAGAGAAGUACCUGAAAUAGGACGAAAUGGGGAUGUGGUGACUUUAAGACAUAGGAUACCAUUUACUCCCCAAGAAAUAAAUGAAUUUACACAAAAUAUCCCCACAUAUGAACAGGAUCCUUUUCUAGUAACAAAAAAGAUGGGAGACAUAUUUUUUCAGUAUAAUCCAUCUUACAAGGACGUUGAGAGCUUACUACAGGCUUUUUUAAGUGAACGUGAAAAAAAUAAAAUAAUUGCUCAUGUCAACAAAACCUGGGGGCAUAAUGCAGCACAUUGGCCAUCUCAGGAUCCCGAAUGGGACUAUAACAAUCCUGAUGAUUAUCUACAACUCUACCGUUGUAGAGAGGCCAUCCUCACGUCCAUGAAGGAAUGUGCAGACAGUACAGAUAAGUGGAUGGAACUGGAAAAAAUUAAGCAAAAGGAAAACGAAACACCCUCCAGAUUUAUGGACAGAAUUAUCGAGUUUGGGGACAGAUACUUAGAUUGGGACUUAACUAAAGAGAGUAGUUUAAGACAAGUUAGAAGAAUCUUUGUAAACAAUUCUUGCAAAGUAAUUAAAAAUUAUUUUAAAACACAAUGUCCAAGAUGGUCAG
This 1021-nucleotide long non-coding RNA is filed under the name Monodelphis domestica (gray short-tailed opossum). RNAcentral's name for it is "lncRNA (ENSMODG00000045256.1)". The record is from RNAcentral. Lineage: Eukaryota; Metazoa; Chordata; Mammalia; Didelphimorphia; Didelphidae.